RNAcentral lists this ribosomal RNA (433 nucleotides) under uncultured bacterium. RNAcentral describes it as "partial 16S ribosomal RNA". It matches the Rfam family "Bacterial small subunit ribosomal RNA", at positions 29 to 507 of the family's 1533-position model. The record is from RNAcentral.
AACGAACGCUGGCGGCAUGCCUAACACAUGCAAGUCGAACGAGACCUUCGGGUCUAGUGGCGCACGGGUGCGUAACGCGUGGGAACCUGCCCUUAGGUUCGGAAUAACUCCCCGAAAGGGGUGCUAAUACCGGAUAAUGUCUUCGGACCAAAGCUUUAUCGCCUUUGGAUGGGCCCGCGUUGGAUUAGCUAGUUGGUAGGGUAAAAGCCUACCAAGGCGACGAUCCAUAGCUGGUCGGAGAGGAUGAUCAGCCACACUGGGACUGAGACACGGCCCAGACUCGUACGGGAGGCAGCAGUGGGGAAUAUUGGACGAGGGGCGAAAGCCUGAUCCAGCAAUGCCGCGUGAGUGAUGAAGGCCUUAGGGUUGUAAAGCUCUUUUACCCGGGAUGAUAAUGACAGUACCGGGAGAAUAAGCUCCGGCUAACUCCGUG